UUAAUAUUUAUAUUAUUUGUAUUUUUAUUUAUUUAUAUUUUAUCAGAAAUAACUUUUUUAUUAGUAUAUUUUAUUGAACUUAUUUUUAAUUAUUAUAGGUUAUAUUACUGUGUAGGAAUUUUUUAUAUUUAAUUUAAGCAAAUUUUUUUUAUUGUACCUUUUGUAUCAGGGUUUAUUAAAUAUAUAUUAAUUAUUUAUUAAUUUUCCCGAAAUUAAAAGAGAUAUAUUUUUAUGAUAGUUUACAUUUUAUAGUAAUUUUUAAUUAAAAUAUAGGGGCUAUAUACUAUUCAUUUUUAAAUAUCUGGUUUUCUAAUAAAUUAAUUUAAUUAAGGAUAAUAAUUGUUUAAUUUAUCAAUUAAUUUUAUUUAAUGUUAUUAUCUAAAAUCUUUGGGGAUAAGCUCAUUGAUUAAUUUAUAAUUUUUAUUUUUAAAAAAUUUUGUAGGCUUAGUAACAGCUAUCAUUUAUUUCGUUAUAGUUAAUUUUUUUUUGUUAUUUAUUUAUUAAUAAUUUAAUUUUUUAUUGGAAUUUUUUAAUUAAUUAUUAUUUUUAAGUAAUUAUGAUAAAAUUAGUAGUUUUGUAUAUUUAAAUAUAGUAAUUCGGCAAUUUUAAUCUUCGCCUGUUUAACAAAAACAUGUCCUAUUGUUUAAUAUUAAUUUUAGGUCUAACCUGCCCAGUGAAAUAAUUUGAAUGGCCGCAGUAUACUAACUGUGCGAAGGUAGCAUAAUCAUUUGUCUUUUAAUUGAAGGCUUGUAUGAAUGGUUGGACGAAGGAUUAACUUUCUUUAUUUAAUUUUAAUUAAUUUGAUUUUUUAGUUAAAAAGCUUAAAUGUAUUUGCAAGACGAGAAGACCCUGUAGAAUUUUAUAAUUAUGAUAUUUUUUAUUUUAUUUGUAAUUUUAAUUAUAAAUAAUAUUUUAAUUAUUUUGUUGGGGCGACAAUGGAAAUAGUUUAACUUCCAUUAAUAUAAAUCAUUUAUUUAUGUUUAUUUUGAUCUUUUAUUAAAGAUUAAAAGAUUAAAUUACCUUAGGGAUAACAGCGUAAUUUUUUCGGAGAGUUCUUAUCGAUGAAAUAAGUUUGCGACCUCGAUGUUGGAUUAAAGUUAGUUUUUGGUGCAGAAGCUAAAUUACUAAGUCUGUUCGACUUUUAAAUCUUUACAUGAUCUGAGUUCAGACCGGCGUGAGCCAGGUUGGUUUCUAUCUGCAAUAGUUUUUUAUAAUUUAGUACGAAAGGACCAAUUAUAAAUAAUAUUUAUUUAUUUUUGAGUAUUAUUAA
RNAcentral lists this ribosomal RNA (1270 nucleotides) under Homoeocerus unipunctatus. Its description in RNAcentral is "16S ribosomal RNA". The stretch from base 1027 to 1186 matches the Rfam family "Bacterial large subunit ribosomal RNA", at positions 2473 to 2632 of the family's 2925-position model. The record is from RNAcentral. Lineage: Eukaryota; Metazoa; Arthropoda; Insecta; Hemiptera; Coreidae.